This is a long non-coding RNA of Mya arenaria, 4193 nucleotides long. RefSeq lists it as uncharacterized. The transcript has 5 exons. NCBI's taxonomy places the organism in Eukaryota, Metazoa, Mollusca, Bivalvia, Myida, Myidae. The record is from RefSeq and is a predicted model, not a curated record.
AAAAAACACAUAUAAAACCACAAUUGCAUACAUUUGUACAUUGUAAGAUUUUAUACCGGGUCCUUCUCUGAAUUGGUCGACCAGAGCAGUGGAACUAACAUUUGACAUUUUGAAGUUAUUCUUUCUGUUCCCAUUCGGGAUUGAUAUCUACUCGGGGUGAGGGGGUGAGCUUAUUUACCCUCGCCAUCGGGUUAUACCCAUUCGGCGAGCACGCUACGUUUUACAGUAUUUCUACAGAUUUAAUAACAUUUUUAACAUCUCUUCUUUAAUCGUAGCGUGAGUGCUUCGGACUGUAUAUAUAUAAAUAUUCCUACACAGUAUGUACAAAUUUCUGGUUAAAAAUUCAAGAUUUAAAUAAUGUCUUAAGAAUCUAUCACAUACGCAUUAAAAUCAAACACUUCAAAUACAUCAUAGAAAUUAUGCUAUAAUUUUUCCUAUACAAACAUUUUAGGCUCAACCUACAUUUUAAAAAGAUGUCUAAAUUUAAAAAUUCUUUACACUAGUAAGUGUUUAUAUAUACAACGUAUCCUUGGCAUAAUAACAACUAGCUAGUGAGAUUAUUUUAUUUUUUUUCAAAUGACAGAUUUCUCACUAGUUAGUUUCCUAAACCAUCCCCAUCAGGGAUGGGGCGGUAUAAGCUGGUUUGCACUGAGGACUAAGCCUCAGUGCGUUUGCCUGGAUUUUGUUUUCCUUGACAUUCAAUAAAAAAUAAAAAAUAAAUAAAGAAAAGUGUGUUAUACAUGUAUAUAUAAGUGUCCAACUGUUGUUAUUGUUGUUCUUUUUUUCUUUUUUUUCUUUUUUGGACUGGUAUCGCUGUGUAACCAGGCAAACCAGGAUGAAGAAUAUAACGAUUCGCAGCUUAAGACUCCAUCCUAUGGUGUUACAAUAUGUGAAAGCGUUGCCAAGGACUGAUUAAAUUAUGAAAUAAAAUAGAGAUUGGUUGAUCCUCCGGGGUGUAUUUAAAAUAUCGCUAUUAAUAUUAGAACCGUUUCCGGAUGGUAGUUUAAUACUGGCAUAAACAAAGACUUUUCUAACUAUUAGAAAGAAAACGAUCCUUUUCAGGGCCACUGUUAAAAUAUUAUAUAAUAAUUUAAAAUGUUAUAUACAAUAUUUACAUAAAAAAAGGAUUCUCACCCCGGAGGAACGGUAAUUUGAUAAUAUACAACGGCUGGUGAAUUAUUAAAACAACAUAUAAACAAACUCCCCGACGCCCUUCUUCACAUAAAUGUAUGGGGUUUAAUACUUGAAAAAUAAAAAAGAAUUAAAUGUGAAUGCUUGUGCUAUUCUACAGGGGUGGCUCUGUUCAGUAUUACUAUUUUUCCCACCCUGGGAUAGAGAAAAGAACGAGUUCGCCAGGUGUCAUGAUUUAGGCUACAUGAAUACUCUCCAUUGAAGGAGAUACCAUGUGGGAGGAAAGUGUCACGUGACAAAUUCACUCAAUGGCGGAGGAUUAAACAGACGGACUAACGAAGGGAGUCUUGUGGUACUGAACGGAACCUUCCCUACACCUGACCUGGGUAGGAUAAAACUACCGGUGUCCUCGCCGACCGCCAUUCAUUUAUGACGUGCCGGCGGGCUAGUGAAUAGACCUCUGUGGGUGCAAGAGGGACCGGAUCAUUCACCUCCACACGCCUGAGGCCAUCCUUUGCAAGCCCGUCAACCACUUCAUUCCCCUUCAGGCCGACAUGAGCUGGGACCCAUACCAUGGCUUUGGAAGAGGCACAACAUGGGCUGUUUUCCACUCGGAAGGAACCACCCCACCCCGCCAGACCAUGUUAUACAGAUGCAGCCAGAUUUGAAGGGUUGCAUCCGGCAUGUGCCCAAACAUCAUAUAUGAUAUUCUAUCAGCCCCGGUGGCGGACUUUCUCCUGCUAGCAAUGGCUGACCUUACCUCACAAAGUGAGAAAGCCUUGGAGCAUUCGUCCGUCCACUAUGGGACCGUUUGACGUUUGGGCCGCUUACCGGAAGAGGAGGGAAUACAACUCUCAGCUAUGGAUAGAAUUUUAUCAGUCAACUGCCGAUUAAAAUGUUCCAGCUCAUCCAGAUCAAAGUCAGAGAGAGAGAGUCCCAGACACAAUCUUUUGAAUUCACACCAAUCAGCCUUUUCAAAGUUAAAGGAUGGUUGGCAAGUUUCAUGUGAAUUUAACCCUUCGAUAUUAACAUUGUUGAGGGCUAUAAGGCAAGGAAAGUGAUCCGACCCAAGAUUGCCGUCUAGGACCCCCCCACCCCCUGACGCGACACCUGCCAAACAGACACUGACUAUGGUGAGGUCAAUGCACGUGGAAUUACCUUGUGCAUCAAACCUGGUGGGUGCACCAUCAUUCAGGACUACCAAGUUUGAGUCUUCCAUCCAAGUACAGACGUCCUCACCGUAUUUACAGACUUUGGAGCAACCCCACACUGGUUGAUGUGCAUUGAAGUCCCCAGUGUAUACCAGUUUCAUUAUAUUUGUUUUACUCCGUAUAUUACUCUCGAGUGUAGUAAGAGCCUGAAUGUUACAGCCCCGAGAGUAGACAUUUAUAAGAACAAAGAGUUGGUGCUUUGUUGGGUAAACAAUAAUUGCCAGUGCCUCUAUGGCUGUGCCGCCAUCCUUUUUUAACGGAACAGUGAUUGGAAGAGUCUGGUAUUGGAUAGUGUGCUUUAUAUAAAUUGCUAACCCACCGGCUACAUUAUCAUUUAAGUUUGUAUGAUUUAUAAACUCUGUAUAAUAGCCGGGGAUUGAUUUUGAUGUACUCCCCUUAAAGUUAGUUUCUUGAAUGCACAAUAUAUCAAUACUAUUUAUAUCUGUUAGAUGUUUUAACUCUGAAUGUUUACUAGAUGAAAGACCCCCACAGUUGAAUGAUAAUAUUUUUAAAUCCCUAUCCAUUAAGAAUGUUGUUAAACCUGCAGAGGAGAUUAGACCUUUGGGUUUUGCUCAUUGGAGACUGGGAGUAAAGUCUACGACUCAUCCUCCCAGCCCUCAGUUUACCAGGUGUCGAGGGACCCUGCAGUGGUGCGCUGGCAAGUUUCGUGAUGACCACCUCAACCCUGCGGUCUUGAACUAAAUUUCCAGAAUUGCCUGCUUUUCUUUCAUUUUUUGUCUGGUUGUACAAUGGGCAGCCAUUAUGGUUGCGAUGACUCUGGCCUUUAAGAAAGAGACACACUGCCUGUAGGCAGCUGAGUGGGCAUCACCACAGUUUUUACAUCUGCGGUUUGGGUUUUUGCAAUCCCUAGUAGAAUGUAAACCAGCGCACCUAGCACAUGCUAAUGAAAGUGUACACUUAGGAGCCUUGUGACCAAACCCCUGACAUUUUAAACACCUAUCAGGGUCCUCUUGUCUAGGAUGAACGUAUAAGAUAAGGCUCGUGCCACCCACCCUGACGUACCUCGGGAGGCUCGAUAAAACUUAUCCCCACCAGCCGGGGUAAUCCCGGUGGUGGUGGGGCCUCCAGACACUCCAACCCCAAUAUAUGACACUGGACGCCUGGCGGCAACUCCAGACGAUCCCCAAGGCCCGCCAGGUCCUCAUUCUCGGGAACCCCAGCCAACACUCCACGAACUUUGUGUAGGGAAUGGGGUAGGGAAGCACGACAGUCAACCCCCAUGAGUUUAAAAAUGCCCAUAUUUAUUAACUUGACAAUUGCCUGGGCAUAAACCAGUUCCAGGAGAAGGGCCCCAGAGCCUAGUGGGACUGAUCGUUUGACCAGGCGGGGGAGGAGCUGACCCAGUUCUGAUGCCAGUUUGAUUAUGGACCCCUAGCUGGUCAGCUUCAACCCCCACCCGCCCACAAUAGCUCGAGGGAUACACUUGUGCAUCAUAGUGUUAUGAGUUAAAUGAUGACUAUCCCUGGUGCACAGUGCAUCCCCAAGCACAGGAGACAGGUAAUUUGACUGUCUCCUGGUAUUGUUUUUUGAAGAAAGGUAUCACCAGCCAUUGUUAACAAUUAAGUUUGUAAUAACAUCAACAAGCAAAUAAUAAAAUUUAAUGGGGAACCUAGCCCCUAUAUGUAGAAAUGCUAAGACUUUUGUAUAAGAUGUUGUGUAAAUAAUAUUGGUGUAAUAAAUAUUGCUAUUGUUAUCAAAAAUAAUAAAAAGUCCAAUGCACCGAUAAAUAAGCCCACAAAGUUUAUUGAAAUAAAGGUGGAACUACUUGACAUUUAAUUAAGUACUACUGAAGGGUUUAAAUUUAGAAUUUAGUUUAGUCAAGCAGUAGCC